GGGAGGGCCAAGGGUGCCCAGUGUCCAUGUGGGACAGUGUUCAGCAUGAAUCCCAUCACAUGAGUAUCCCUUAGCCCUUUCUCCACAUUGAUUGUGAGGCCCUGGUUAGACACAUUUCCUCCUCCUGUCCCUCCAGAUGGUGAGCCUGGAGGAAGACUUGUGUUGACCCACAGGCCCCAGGCCAAUGUCAGCCAGGUGCUCAUCUCCUGGUGCGCUGAAACACUGGCCCUUCUUGGCACCCUGGUCUCCUGCACUGAGCUGUGAUCUUCCACCCAGGAGGUCCCCCUGGCAUUGACUGGCAUAGGAUUCUUGGCAAGCAGGCCCAAGGGUGCCCCGUGUCGGUGACAAGUCAGUAUUUCACAUGGAUUUCAUCACAUGUUCCUUGGAGGAUGAGCAGGUGUGAGCUGGCAUGCCCUACCUACUUCCCCACGUGGAGAUCAUUUUGGACACAUGUCCUCCAGCUCUCUCCCAGGUGGUGAGAUCAGAGGAAGACUUGCAUUGGGCCUCCUGUUCCUGGGCCAGUGGUCAUCAGCCUGUUGCCCAGCCCCUGAUAAGCUGAAGCUCAGGCCCUUCCUGGCACUCUGGUCUCCUGCACUGAGCUGUGUGAGCUCUUCUGCCCAGGUGGACCCAUGGCCUUAAGCGGCAUAGAUGGUGAACCUGGAGGAAGACUUGUGUUGGGCCCCCACAGGCCCCAGGCCAGUGUCCGUCAGCCUGGUGCUCAUCCCCUGGUGUGUUGAAGCUCAGACCUUCCCUGGCACCCUGGUCUCCUGCACUGAGCUGUGGUGAGCACAUCCAGGUUCCGCUGGAUGCAUGCGUGGGUCAAUGCCCUUGGUUGGGUCAAUGAUGAGAACCUUAUAUUGUCCUGAAGAGAGGUGAUGACUUAAAAAUCAUGCUCAAUAGGAUUACGCUGAGGCCCAGCCUAGGUGAGAAUGUUGGAAGAGGACACUGGGAUCUCAAGAUCUCCAACAGGUCCACUGUAUUUUGGGCUGGAGACCUGGAGGUCCUGAAGGGCAUCUGGAAGGAGGCCCAACCCUGUCUCUGUGAUCUUCCUUGAGGCAACCCGGGCUACCUCUGUAGGCUUGGUGUUGGUGCUGCAGUUCUCUGGGGCCAGAGAACAUUGGUGGCUCCUUCCUGAGCCCCCAUUCCUCCCUUGUGUCUUUCAGUGAACUUUUCCUCCCAGACGGGCUCCCUGGAAUUGACUGGCAUAGGUGAGUGAAUCCUGCGGGGGUCAUGGACCAUUAGCCAGGCCAUGUGGGUUCGCUGAGGUUC
RNAcentral lists this long non-coding RNA (1269 nucleotides) under Rhinopithecus bieti (black snub-nosed monkey). RNAcentral's name for it is "lncRNA (ENSRBIG00000046071.1)". The stretch from base 835 to 916 matches the Rfam family "Small nucleolar RNA SNORD115". Lineage: Eukaryota; Metazoa; Chordata; Mammalia; Primates; Cercopithecidae. The record is from RNAcentral.